Molecule: long non-coding RNA, 1387 nt
Organism: Mustela erminea (ermine)
Lineage: Eukaryota; Metazoa; Chordata; Mammalia; Carnivora; Mustelidae
Exons: 3
Source: RefSeq, a predicted model, not a curated record
AGAGCCUUUCUGCCUAAGUUUCUGGGCUGUGAGAUGUACCACAUCCAAGCCCACUCCAAGACUGGCUUUGCUGCCAAAAGCGCACUCGAUCAAAUCCCUGCACUCCAGGGGCUUAUUCAGGCUCAGCCACAGACUGAUAGCUGACCAACCCCUGGAGAACUGAGAAAUACACAUUUGGAAGACACUUGGAGUCUGUGUUGAGAAAGCAGACAGAAAGGUUGCCGGGCAAUUGGGAAACAAGCCGAUAGGAGCCCUGUGGAUUGAAGACUGAGGUACACUUGGAGAUCUUCAUUUCCUGGGAUGCAUCAGUGUUAUGUAGAGCUUAAUUAUGGCUAACCCUGGGAGAAAAUAGUCUGAAGGUUUUCCUUCAAGAGAGACUAACUCAGCAUGAAGCCCUGCCCUUCAGAGUCUCCCAUCUUCUUCCAUUAGAAAGUGGGGAUUCUCCAUGAGCAAAAGCUUCCUGAAGAUACACAAGGUAUGUAGACACAUCACCCCAAGGGCCAGUCCAUUUACAGAAGGAAAGAACUGUGUGAGGCUGAGAUGCCCAGUAUCUUUCGAACAUGCAGGUUAGACAAAUGAUUCUCUUGCAGAGACCGACCAUAUGGAUUGAUUUAGCACCAUUUCACCGGCUACCUAGAGACAUAACUUGAGUCAUCAUGUAUAAAUUACUGAACUCUCCACUGCAAAAAGGAAAAAACUGUUUUCUUGCACAGCAGUAGCAAUUAAUGUGCAAUGUGUUUAUGGAGCUUAAUAAUACAUGGCCCAGCACCCAUUUCUGUAUGCAAUACCAUUAUCGAGAGAGAGAAAGAGAGAGAGAGAGACUGAGCUGGUGUCAUCGGCAUACAAGACGUGGAUGAUGGAUUCAUCGAUGACUGAGCCUGGCCUUAUUACAGCAAACAAAUUAGACACCGUGGAAUCUAUUGCCAUAUAGACAGGACUUUCUUCUCUUCAAAUAUAUGUCAUAAUUAAUAGCGGUAACCUUUUGGUAACACUGAAAAACAACUUGCAAUUAAUGGCCCCUCUCUUCCUUUAGGGCCUACACACAUAAGUGGUUGUUCAAGGCUUGGCCCAGCUCAGUGGAGGGGAGCAAGUUCUAGAUACCCUCUAACUGAGAAAGUGGAAAGUGGCGGCCAGUAAGGUCAAUCACUUCUUUACCUUUCUCAUAUUUCAUGCCAGAGUAAGGCAGAAAGGAAAGUCGUGAGUCGCCCACAACUAAUUUUCCAGCCACUUCUCUCUGCCAGGCAUUGUUCUAGGCACUGGGGACAGAGCAAAGAACAAGACAAAAGGACACUGCCCCCCCCCAUCUCUGUGAGUAGGGAAUGACAUCAGACAUGUAAACAAAUAAAUACUUUUAAAAUUCUGAUAUGUAGCACGCUGAAGAUAAGAU